RNAcentral lists this transfer RNA (72 nucleotides) under Aedes aegypti (yellow fever mosquito). It matches the Rfam family "tRNA". From Rfam's summary of the family: Transfer RNA (tRNA) molecules are approximately 80 nucleotides in length. Lineage: Eukaryota; Metazoa; Arthropoda; Insecta; Diptera; Culicidae. The record is from Rfam by way of RNAcentral.
GGCUCGGUAGCUUAGUUGGUAAAGCGCUCGUCUAGCAUACAAGAGUUCUGGGUUCAAAUCUCAGCUGAGCAC